Calliphora vicina (urban bluebottle blowfly) is the source of this 392-nucleotide long non-coding RNA. RefSeq lists it as uncharacterized. The transcript is spliced from 2 exons. NCBI's taxonomy places the organism in Eukaryota, Metazoa, Arthropoda, Insecta, Diptera, Calliphoridae. The record is from RefSeq and is a predicted model, not a curated record.
UAUUCCAAUAAAUUUCAUUGCGAAAGAAAGUUAUCAGUUGUUGAAUAAAAAUAUGAAAUUAAUACAAUUAUUUGUGGCUGUUGUUUGCAUUAUUGCCGGUGCUAUGGCUGCUCCAGGACAUAAUGUGAUAAGUGGCAAUGGUAAUUCCAAUAAUCAUCAAACUAAUUCAGAUGUUGGUAUUGACUUAAAACUUCCAAAAUUGUAAGAUUGUAUUUGUAUUUCUUUGAAAUCCGAGCAUUGUACAUGUCGAAAAUAAUGAUUUAAAGCUCUUUUUAUAUUUUUAUUAAACACUGCAAUAUUUAGGUAACUUAAAAUUAGUAAGAAAAUGUAAAAAUAAAUCCAAAAAUUUUAAAUUAUGUAAAAAAAUAAAAUAUUUGUAUUAAAAAACUGAA